Molecule: long non-coding RNA, 777 nt
Organism: Arvicola amphibius (Eurasian water vole)
Lineage: Eukaryota; Metazoa; Chordata; Mammalia; Rodentia; Cricetidae
Exons: 3
Source: RefSeq, a predicted model, not a curated record
GUCGGGGGGUCGGGUCUCCUGGUGGGCGAGGAGGUGAGCGGUUGAGUGGACCCCCCGGGCGCGCAGGGGAACCGCCAGAUCCUCCCUUCUCCUCUGGGCACGAGGGGAGAGGAGGGUGUGCGGAGCUUGUCUCGCAGUCGCCGUCUGUCACCGAACCCCUGGUUGUCAGAGGACCCCCCAGAUCAAAACUCCCCCGCCCCAGAAUGACUCUCAUUUCUCCCCCAGAAAACGUGUCUCAGUUUAAUGAGAUUUGCCGAGCACAGAAACGAUUAGAAUAGGAUGUGGGUGAGUUAAAGGUCGUGAAAGAAAGACUGAGGAGUUCUGAAUGAAGGGGACAGAGCUGACAGUACACGGGAUCCCAAACCAGCAUUGGCGAUAAAUUCCAGACCGCUUUCAUAUAGGUAAGCACUCUCUAGUGAGGUAAACUUCCACCCUCCCUUCUGAAUCUUACAGCAUUAAAGCCUAGAACGGCACUCUAAAGCAUAAGGGAUAAUUUAUAGCAUUGAAGGUCCCUAUUUAUCAAUUCAGGGUCUGGACCGUACCAAGCAAGGGCUUUACUACCAAGCUCCACUCGAGGUCCUAAUAGUGAAACUAUCUAACAACUUUUUCAUAUAACCUGAAUCUUAAGUUAGGUAGGGGCAAACAUUUAUAACCCCAGAAUUUUGGAGGUGGGGGAAGGGUCAGAAAUUCAAGGUCAUGCUCAGUUAUGUAGUGAGUUCUAGGUCAAGCUGGCCAAUGUUAGAUCCUGUCUCAAUAAAACAAAGCAAAACAACCCAA